Molecule: ribosomal RNA, 597 nt
Filed under: Meloidogyne exigua
Lineage: Eukaryota; Metazoa; Nematoda; Chromadorea; Rhabditida; Meloidogynidae
Description: 12S ribosomal RNA
Source: RNAcentral
UUAAAUUUUUUAUUUUUGUAUAAAAUAUAAAUUAAUAAUUAUGAUAUUUAAAAUUUUGUACCAGAUAACUCGGCUAUACUUGUUAAGCUUUAACUAUAAAUUUUUAUUUAUUAUUUUUGUUUUUUUUUUAUAUUUUUUUUUGUGAAAAUAAGAAAUUUAUAUUUUUUUUUUAAAUAAUAUUUAGUUUUUUUUUGACUUGGUUUAGUAUCCAAUUAAAAAAAUAUAAAUUUAAUCUAAAGUAAAGUUAAUUAAAUAGAAAUAAUUUGUCUGGAAUAUAAAUUUUUUUUUGGGAUUUGAUGGUUAAUUGGUUAAAACUCCUUUUAACUAUUUUUAUUUUUUUUUUGAAUGACUCUUUUUUUUAUUUAUUAUUAAUUUAAUUUUUUUUUUAUGAGGUAUUUACCAAGAUUAUAAAAUAGUCUUAAUUUAGUCACAUUAAUUUAAAUUUUGGAUUAAUAUUAGAAUUUAUUAUUAAAUUGGAAAAAAAAGUAAAAAUAAAAUUAAUUUUUAUUUGAAUUUAAUCUUUAUUUAGUACUAAUUGUCCAUCAUUACUGUUAAGUAAAAGUUGUAGCAAAGUAGAUUUAAAUGAAUUUGAAUCUA